GGGGCUGUCAAGGUUUCGACGGGGAGGGAGAAGAGCGAGCAGCGGGUAGCAGCGGGGAACUGCUUAAAACUCUCCAAAACAAUUAACUGACAACCGUAACGUUGCAGUCGCUGCCUAAUUAAGGCAGCUGUUCUGCCCACCAUUGUGCCGGGUGGGGCCAGGGCAUCGAUUAGGCACAGCACAUGAACGGGCAUAAGCUUUGCCGCCCGUCACGAACCCAUGAAGCUACCAAACAGUUCGGUCUGGCAUUCGUCUGAACUGUAAGGAAAAUCGAAACGACUGCCUGCACCCGGAGAUACUCUCUUGGACCCCUUUUCGGACAUGGGUUCGACUCCCAUCAGCUCCACCA
Molecule: transfer-messenger RNA, 349 nt
Filed under: uncultured Gemmiger sp.
Lineage: Bacteria; Bacillati; Bacillota; Clostridia; Eubacteriales; Oscillospiraceae
Rfam family: transfer-messenger RNA
About the family: Bacterial tmRNA, also known as 10Sa RNA or SsrA, is named for its dual tRNA and mRNA-like properties. Its role is to liberate the mRNA from a stalled ribosome. To accomplish this part of the tmRNA is used as a reading frame that ends in a translation stop signal.
Source: RNAcentral